This 328-nucleotide ribosomal RNA is filed under the name Clostridioides difficile. Its description in RNAcentral is "bacterial LSU rRNA". It matches the Rfam family "Bacterial large subunit ribosomal RNA", at positions 2595 to 2925 of the family's 2925-position model. The record is from RNAcentral. Lineage: Bacteria; Bacillati; Bacillota; Clostridia; Peptostreptococcales; Peptostreptococcaceae.
GGUACGCGAGCUGGGUUCAGAACGUCGUGAGACAGUUCGGUCCCUAUCCGUCGCAGGCGUAGGAAAUUUGAGAAGACCUGUCCUUAGUACGAGAGGACCGGGAUGGACGUACCUCUGGUGUACCAGUGGUCCUGCCAAGGGCAUGGCUGGGUAGCUAGGUACGGAAUGGAUAAGCGCUGAAAGCAUCUAAGCGCGAAGCCAACUUCAAGAUAAGAUUUCCCACCGCAAGGGUAAGACCCCAGAAAGACUAACUGGUUGAUAGGUCGAAGGUGUAAGUGCAGCAAUGUAUUUAGCUUAUCGAUACUAAUAGGUCGAGGACUUGACCAAU